RNAcentral lists this transfer RNA (64 nucleotides) under Orthonychiurus folsomi. RNAcentral describes it as "tRNA-Val". Lineage: Eukaryota; Metazoa; Arthropoda; Collembola; Poduromorpha; Onychiuridae. The record is from RNAcentral.
GAUUGUGGAGCUUGUAAAAGUAUUUUAGUUACAUUAAAAUGAACUAUUUAAGAUAGUAUAAUCU